GAAGGCCUUUUGGUUGUAAAGCACUUUAAGCGAGGAGGAGGCUACUCUAGUUAAUACCUAGAGAUAGUGGACGUUACUCGCAGAAUAAGCACCGGCUAACUCUGUGCCAGCAGCCGCGGUAAUACAGAGGGUGCAAGCGUUAAUCGGAUUUACUGGGCGUAAAGCGCGCGUAGGUGGCCAAUUAAGUCAAAUGUGAAAUCCCCGAGCUUAACUUGGGAAUUGCAUUCGAUACUGGUUGGCUAGAGUAUGGGAGAGGAUGGUAGAAUUCCAGGUGUAGCGGUGAAAUGCGUAGAGAUCUGGAGGAAUACCGAUGGCGAAGGCAGCCAUCUGGCCUAAUACUGACACUGAGGUGCGAAAGCAUGGGGAGCAAACAGGAUUAGAUACCCUGGUAGUCCAUGCCGUAAACGAUGUCUACUAGCCGU
Molecule: ribosomal RNA, 422 nt
Filed under: bacterium E-1-0-8B
Lineage: Bacteria
Description: bacterial SSU rRNA
Rfam family: Bacterial small subunit ribosomal RNA
Source: RNAcentral